AGUGAACGCUGGCGGUAGGCCUAACACAUGCAAGUCGAACGGCAGCACAGUAAGAGCUUGCUCUUACGGGUGGCGAGUGGCGGACGGGUGAGGAAUACAUCGGAAUCUACUUUUUCGUGGGGGAUAACGUAGGGAAACUUACGCUAAUACCGCAUACGACCUACGGGUGAAGGCAGGGGAUCUUCGGACCUUGCGCGAUUGAAUGAGCCGAUGUCGGAUUCGCUAGUUGGCGGGGUAAAGGCCCACCAAGGCGACGAUCCGUAGCUGGUCUGAGAGGAUGAUCAGCCACACUGGAACUGAGACACGGUCCAGACUCCUACGGGAGGCAGCAGUGGAGAAUAUUGGACAAUGGGCGCAAGCCUGAUCCAGCCAUACCGCGUGGGUGAAGAAGGCCUUCGGGUUGUAAAGCCCUUUUGUUGGGAAAGAAAAGCAGCAGGUUAAUACCCCGCUGUUCUGACGGUACCCAAAGAAUAAGCACCGGCUAACUUCGUG
Molecule: ribosomal RNA, 492 nt
Filed under: uncultured bacterium
Lineage: Bacteria
Description: partial 16S ribosomal RNA
Rfam family: Bacterial small subunit ribosomal RNA
Source: RNAcentral